GUGGGUGGAGCAGGAGGUGCUUGUGUUGGUGUGGGUGCGGGCAGAGGUUUGGGCGUUCGUGCUGGCUCGUGUGUGGCUGCGAGUAGCGGUGAGCAAACGCUCACCUCCCAGUCGUGCCGGCUGCUUUACAGUGCUGAGGUGGAUGAAGCCCAUGCUGUGUUUUGACCCUGCGGGUAAUCCAAUGUCCCCGUCGCUCUCGGCCCCCGCUGCCUGUUGAAGCCCUUUGGGUGGGAAGUGGGGACUGGUGUAAUUUAAGAAGAAACGACUUGGCUGACCCUGUCCCCAGCCAGUGCAACGUGGCCCGUGGCUGUGCUCGGUAAGGGCAGCCGGACUGGACCAUUCCCUCCAGGAACACCAGGCACAUGAUAGAGGUGCAUCAGGCACUAGAGGUGUAGUCGUAGCACGUGCUGGAGUGUAACACUGCAUCAGAGUGGGAUAGAAACAUAGACUCGUUUAGGUGGGAAAAGGCCUCUAAGAUCAUCAAGUCCAACCAUUAACCCAGCACUGCCAAGUCCACCGCUAAACCUGAAGAUGUCUAGAAAAAGCUGAAAGGUUUUACAGUUGACAUGCAAAUUUUAGCUGUGCUUUUCAUUUGUGCUUCUUGUGUCUUGCUGAGCUAGGUUUGUUCAUACUUAAACAGAGUUUUGGAUUAACUGGAUUAACAGGAACCACCUAUGUGUCACUGUUUGGAAUACAGUGGAUUUCUUUUUUGGGGGCUGCAGAAAAAAAUGGCAUAUUAGCCCUUCCAGCCACAUGCAGGAGAGAGUUGUGGAUUUCAGAGCAGAAAGCCUUUCUGUCAAUGAGCUCCUGAAGUAGGGAGGGUGCUCUUUGCUAUCUGGCAUCAAACAUGUUUUGAAAGUGUUGUUUGCUCAUUGUCAUUGGUGCCAGCCCAGAUCUCUGUUUGCCAGUGCUGGUGGUUUGGCAUCACUGAUCUAGAGUGAGAUCAAACAAGGGGGAAUAUGGAGCCAGAGCCUCGGUUUAUUUACCCUAGUGUGAGUGAAUGGAGAGAUGCCAAUGUUAAAUGUAGGUGCUGCCAACGGCAAAUGACCUUCAUCCCAGCAUUUUUCCGUGGUGAGCUUUGCCUGGAAUUGGGGAAAAAGAAAAACUGA
This 1109-nucleotide long non-coding RNA is filed under the name Manacus vitellinus (golden-collared manakin). RNAcentral describes it as "lncRNA (ENSMVIG00005016708.1)". The record is from RNAcentral. Lineage: Eukaryota; Metazoa; Chordata; Aves; Passeriformes; Pipridae.